RNAcentral lists this small RNA (542 nucleotides) under Histoplasma capsulatum var. duboisii H88. RNAcentral's name for it is "Histoplasma capsulatum H88 hypothetical RNA". Lineage: Eukaryota; Fungi; Ascomycota; Eurotiomycetes; Onygenales; Ajellomycetaceae. The record is from RNAcentral.
AACCUUCCCCUCCAUCGUCACUCAUAUAGUUAAUUGGAUUUCAAAACACAGUUGAGCAGAAGAUAGAAAUAUAUAUAUCAAUAUUGAAAAAUCAAUGAGGAAAUAACACACCUCAAUUAAAAAAUAAACUCUUUGUAUUCCAGUCUAAACUGGUUUUUGCAAUUCACCCUUCUUUGUUUAACUAACUAGUUAGUUACUUAUUUUGUUUAUUUGUGAUUGCUUGACUAGUUAUCUAUCCAAAUCACCACUUUUUCUCGGGAGAAACUUGUGAUACUCUGGUGCAUUUUAUAAUAGCACCUUCUCAUCAUCACUCACCCCAAUAAAAGAAAAUGUGUUUGACCGCAACCCUCAACCCAAUCCGGGAUGUAUAAAAUUUUUCAAUGCAAUCGGUGUAGCUCAGCAUUGUAGCCGUUGUAUAUGGACGUUGGGGGGGAAUGACGCAAUGUAAAAUAGUGAUACCUAUAAAAAAGGGCUAAAUGUAAAAUAAUCAUACAGGAGUUGAUAUAUAGAAAACCAAGCAAAACAAGCCCCCGUUCCCCACA